RNAcentral lists this long non-coding RNA (859 nucleotides) under Neogobius melanostomus (round goby). Its description in RNAcentral is "lncRNA (ENSNMLG00000005574.1)". The record is from RNAcentral. Lineage: Eukaryota; Metazoa; Chordata; Actinopteri; Gobiiformes; Gobiidae.
GGACAGCCUUGGGAGUUUUUGAGGUCUCCCAGGUUGGAUGGUGACAAAAAAAGGAGCAAUAUUGACCGUGGCUUAACCUCGAUGUACAUUUGAUUUAUGAGCUCUGUAAAAACAAAAUCACUGGAAUGUAACGCAAUAUCAAUAUCUCUCUUUUCCAUCACCAAAAGCCAUUAGUCAUAAAAAUCAUGCAGGUAUUCUGGCAAAGACACUGCUUUUUACCCAUUCACUGUCACUCACUGUAAAAGAUUUGUCUCAAAUGUCUCAAAGUACUGGCAGGCACUGAAAAGACCCGGUUACGAUUACUGACACGGACACCGUCUUUUAUAAAGAGGUAUGAGGCACACCUUUCACACUUGUACUCUGGUCUGCACACAGGACUUUGAAACGCCAUGGGGCCACAAUGGAUUUGUCUCUCUCUUUUGUUUAUAAUAUACACAGAGCACGUUCAAGGCAAUCAUAAGAAGCACGACACCUCUUUGAAGCCAGUCAGUGAUGUCACCUCUGUGGAUCCAAACUCUGUGGAUCCAAGCACACAUUUUCCUGACUCACUCUGCAAAUGCAAAGUAGAUGGAAGAUGGGAGGAGAAGAACCUGUGCUUCUGUGCCAAGAAUGCCCGACGCAAAAACAGACGUGUGAAUUGGAGGAAACUUUGCCAAGGGACAAUCAGGAAACACAAGUGCCGCUUUUUUAAGCAGAGGCAGAGGACUUUACCCCCCAUUGUCCCCAUCUGAAGCACGAGAAGUCUUUUUCCUCUUUCAAGAUAUAGCCUAUAAACUGUAAACGUCUUGUUCAUAUUAAUAGCAGUAGUGCAUUUGUUGUAAGCAUGCUUCACAUAUUUUUUUAAAUAAUAAAUACCUAG